Myxocyprinus asiaticus (Chinese sucker) is the source of this 341-nucleotide long non-coding RNA. RefSeq lists it as uncharacterized. The record is from RefSeq and is a predicted model, not a curated record. The transcript has 3 exons. Lineage: Eukaryota; Metazoa; Chordata; Actinopteri; Cypriniformes; Catostomidae.
GCUUUGGCAGAGGGCAUAAGGACAAGAGAAAUUGAAUGGUUGGAUCCAAUGGAGACUCAGUCUGCUGUGGACCUAACCCAAGCUCUUAUAGAGGAGCAUGAGAACAUUGCACAUGGAGUGCCAGGACACAUGACUAAAGUUUCUGAGGGCAGAUACAGCAGCAGCUUUCAGCUCGAUGGUCAUUGAGAGAGGAGACCUGGACUUCACAGAACAACUGUGGGAGAAGAUGAGGAGUAAAUAUUAAUUCUUUUAGUUAUUUAUUAGUUUGUGUUACAGAUUUUUACACUAAACAGAUUUUUAGCAGACUGCCUGAAAAUUGACGUCAAAGCAGUAAGACAUGG